ACGUUCUACAAUUAUUCAUUAGCAACGUUUCACUACUAAUUUAGGCGUGCCUACUUACGUUGAAAGUGCUUGUGAGUAGAUCUAAAUAAAACAAUUAAACGUUUCUGCAACAUUUUCAAGACAGUCGCUUCGGCGGGAUCAAGAGCUCUUAAGUAACUGGUCGAAUUUUUCGUUCAUCACGAUUAUUAUAACAACUCGUAUUGGCGUCACAGUUGAAAGUCUAAGCUUUAGAGAUUGCCUAACUAGCAGGAGGAUUAAGUAAUGACUGGAAAUUCUGUAUUUUACAAUCAUUUUGUUCGAAAUUCGCUGUUUAAAAUUUGGACAGAUUUUGGACCAACAAAUAAAACACCCAUAAAUAAAUAAAAUUCGAGUCA
Molecule: long non-coding RNA, 374 nt
Organism: Photinus pyralis (common eastern firefly)
Lineage: Eukaryota; Metazoa; Arthropoda; Insecta; Coleoptera; Lampyridae
Exons: 2
Source: RefSeq, a predicted model, not a curated record